AUGAUUCCAUGAUGCUGUGAUGCUCCAGGGCAGGAUUACAUCAGCUGAAGACAUCCUGGUUUCUUGAGAACAGAGUAGUAAGAGAAAAGUUUCACCCAGGGAGGGACAAAUUCCUAACCAAGCUUCUGGACACCAAAUCUCAGAGAGGCUGUUUCCCUGCUGUUCACCACUCCGCCGUCUUCCCAGAAGUCUGCUCUGAAUCAUCCCGGACAGGAUUGCCCACCAUGUGCUGCACCCCUAUCCUGCAGAUUUUGCCUGCACCACCCUCUCCCUUCUUCUGGGCACCACAGGCCGCACUUCUUGGGUUCAGCAAACUGGGUGCCGCAGGACCUGAGUCAUGUGAUACACGGCUCAUCGAGUGCAACUUCUCCUGUGGGGCAUUGAAGAUGUGCCAUGGGGCAGGAGCCAGCUGUCUGUCCACUGCAUCUUGGUAGUGAGCGGCAUUCCUGCCAGGGAUGGGCUGAAGGCUGCUAGUGCCUUCACCCGGGAAGAGCUCCAGCAUUUGACCCUCAUGAAUCAAACUCCUUUACCAACUCACCAGCCUUUAAAGACUGUGUUUUCAUUUCCCCCAGAAGUUAUUGACUUAUUUUCAUUAUUGUUUUUUCUUAUUUAUUGGUCGAGACAAGGUCUUGCUAUGUAGUUCAGGCUGGGCUUAGACUCAGUAUGUAGCCCAGACUGAACCUGCAGUCUUGAACUUACAGUGAUCCUCCUGCUUCAGCCUCCUGAGUACUGGGAUUAUAGGCACACACUACCAAGUUUAGGUCUCCCAGGAUUUAUUUUAUUUUAUUUUUAUUUUUUUUUUUGUACCAGGGAUCAAACUCAGGUCUUUGUGCUUGCCAGGCAAGCGACGGAACCACUGAGCUAAAUCCCCGGACCUUAGGGUUUUAUUUUAGAGUGGGAAGUGUGGGUGAAAGUCAGGCCAGCGCAGGAACAGGAGGUCCCAGUGUUGGAAGGAGCCGAGGGCUGUGUGGGCUGUGCGACUUCUUGUCCUUGCUAUGAGUGGAGAGCAGCUCUGCCUGCCAUCGAGCCCCCACUGCCUGUGCUGUUCUGGCACGGACUGACCACGGUGCUCAGGAGGUGGGAUCACAGGGCGCCUGACACUGCUGGCCUGCUCCUCAGAGGCUGCAUGUCACCGCUGCCUCCGCCUGCGGGUGCUGGGCUGGUGGUGGCCGAGGUGUGGCAAGGCCCCUCUGCUCUGGCCCCUGUGCCUGUCCGAACCUCCUCUGUUCAGUGUCUCCAUCAAUGUCUCCAUUCUGCGGUGCCCACCAGGCAGCUUCCCCUGUUUCCGCACAGACAUGGGGUGGAGAGCGCCCGGCCGGUCUGGGCCUUGAGGACAGCGCCACAGGCUGUUGAAGGCCCUGCUUCUGUGGGACUGGGCGCUGUCUCCUGGGCCCUUGUGACCACACAUGGGGGUUGGGGCCAGAGUCAGAUGGCCGGGGCUCGUGUGCAGGGGAAGGUGCCCUCAGCCCCGCUGCAGGAGCCUGACCUCUGUGCACGCGAAGGUGGCAGCUGAGGCCUUGCAUCUGCCCCUGGAGGGCCUGGGUCCAAAGGAGCAGGAGGCCAGGUGGGCAGAGGCCCAGGUCAGGACUGGAGCUGAGAGACCCCAGGGCAGACAGAUGCAGGAAGUGGGCUGACCUAGGGAGGAAAGCUCAUGCUCCAGCACUCCCAGGCCAGGCUCCCUGGUGCGCCUGCACCCCCGGGUCGCAGUUCCAGGUGGGAGUGACCCAGGGCAUAGUCCAAAGGUGUCCAGCUUUUGACCCUGAGCAGCCUCUUGGUGUCUGCACUUUUCUAGGGUCAAUGAGGAGCGGUGCCACCUACUAGGGUUGUUCCUGAUCUUAGAACAGCCAGGAAACCCACAGCCAGUGCCGAUGGGCACCCCUGGGGCUCCCUGCCCAGUCUGGAGGAGAGCCACUGUAGCGGUCCACCCUUCCUGGCCUGGCCCUUGCCUGAGCUGCUCUGCCUCUCCCCUCGCAGGGUCCUGUCCACCAAUGAGGCUGUCCCCAGUUUGGACGGCUCAGGCUCGCCCUGCUCCUGCAGCAUGUGUGGCAGGCAGUGUGUGAGUGCACCAGAGCCGGGCAGUGGUGGGGGUUCUGCCAGCCCGGGCUGAGACCUUCUAGCGGGUGCCCCACAGCACCGUCUGGGGCCCUUGGCAUUGUGGUGACAGCUGUCCCGGUCCUGCCCUCUGCAGAGCCCAGCUUUGCGCCCCUUUGCUCCCAAAGGGCCCAUGCUUGCUCGACCUCCCAGGCUUGGGCCCAUGCUCUGCUUUGUUUAAUGUAAUGGCGAAUGCGUUGAAGUUGGAAGUUACUGCUUUAUCUCGUGCUAUUUGCUCUGAUUUUGUGUAUAUUUCUUAUACCUUUUUGCCUUCUUUUAUUCUUUAAACAUUAAAAAGUUUUCAUUAGCA
This is a long non-coding RNA of Heterocephalus glaber (naked mole-rat), 2401 nucleotides long. RefSeq lists it as uncharacterized. The record is from RefSeq and is a predicted model, not a curated record. Lineage: Eukaryota; Metazoa; Chordata; Mammalia; Rodentia; Bathyergidae.